This is a long non-coding RNA of Pseudophryne corroboree (corroboree frog), 745 nucleotides long. RefSeq lists it as uncharacterized. Lineage: Eukaryota; Metazoa; Chordata; Amphibia; Anura; Myobatrachidae. The transcript is spliced from 3 exons. The record is from RefSeq and is a predicted model, not a curated record.
AGGACUUACUCCUACAGUGCGAUGAGAACAGGCUGAUCGGGUCCGGAGCUGACGUCAGAUACACUCCCUGAAAACGCUUAGGAACACCUGCGAUUUCCCUGACACUCCCAGAAAACGAUCACGCAUACCUGAAACCUUGUGACCAGUAAUCAAACAAUGCAAUAUCAUCAGCUGAUCGUCACUUGACUUCACCAUUUAGUAAACUGCAGGAAUAAAAAAAAGGAAAAAAAAAACACUCUGCUAAAGGACAGAUUGAACCUUUCAAAAGAAACCUCCUGCCAAAUACCACUCUCAUUCACAUUUCUUCCAGAGACUACUAGUAUGAGCAAGCUCAGCAAGGUGUAUUUCUUGCACAACUCACUACGAAACAAGUUCCCAAGUCACAUGCAGAACUGAAAGUCAUACCUCAACUAUUUAUUUAAUGAUAUUCAUUGCAAUUCAAUAAUAAUUAUCUUUCUCUCUCAUGGGUGCCGAGGAAAAAAUGCUGAUACUAUAGGGUGCCGUGAUUCAAGAAAGUUUGGGAACCACUGACUUAAGCCUAUUGGGAUACUUCAUCCAGGAUCAGAAAAUAGUAAAAAGAAAAAAAGGGAGGAGGAUGGAUGGAACAAAAUACAGACAUAUUUACUCUUCUGCAUUCAUUGGGGAAACCAAACAAAGAUGAAACAGGCAAUCUAUCGGUGAAUAUUCUGUAUCAGCAAACAUCUCUUACUCAUACCCUUUAAAUCUACUGGAUAAAUCAUUUAUC